UCCUCCAAGGCUAAAUACUCCUGACUGACCGAUAGUGAACCAGUACCGUGAGGGAAAGGCGAAAAGAACCCCGGCGAGGGGAGUGAAAAAGAACCUGAAACCGUGUACGUACAAGCAGUGGGAGCACGCUUAGGCGUGUGACUGCGUACCUUUUGUAUAAUGGGUCAGCGACUUAUAUUCUGUAGCAAGGUUAACCGAAUAGGGGAGCCGAAGGGAAACCGAGUCUUAACUGGGCGUUAAGUUGCAGGGUAUAGACCCGAAACCCGGUGAUCUAGCCAUGGGCAGGUUGAAGGUUGGGUAACACUAACUGGAGGACCGAACCGACUAAUGUUGAAAAAUUAGCGGAUGACUUGUGGCUGGGGGUGAAAGGCCAAUCAAACCGGGAGAUAGCUGGUUCUCCCCGAAAGCUAUUUAGGUAGCGCCUCGUGAAUUCAUCUCCGGGGGUAGAGCACUGUUUCGGCAAGGGGGUCAUCCCGACUUACCAACCCGAUGCAAACUGCGAAUACCGGAGAAUGUUAUCACGGGAGACACACGGCGGGUGCUAACGUCCGUCGUGAAGAGGGAAACAACCCAGACCGCCAGCUAAGGUCCCAAAGUCAUGGUUAAGUGGGAAACGAUGUGGGAAGGCCCAGACAGCCAGGAUGUUGGCUUAGAAGCAGCCAUCAUUUAAAGAAAGCGUAAUAGCUCACUGGUCGAGUCGGCCUGCGCGGAAGAUGUAACGGGGCUAAACCAUGCACCGAAGCUGCGGCAGCGACGCUUAUGCGUUGUUGGGUAGGGGAGCGUUCUGUAAGCCUGCGAAGGUGUGCUGUGAGGCAUGCUGGAGGUAUCAGAAGUGCGAAUGCUGACAUAAGUAACGAUAAAGCGGGUGAAAAGCCCGCUCGCCGGAAGACCAAGGGUUCCUGUCCAACGUUAAUCGGGGCAGGGUGAGUCGACCCCUAAGGCGAGGCCGAAAGGCGUAGUCGAUGGGAAACAGGUUAAUAUUCCUGUACUUGGUGUUACUGCGAAGGGGGGACGGAGAAGGCUAUGUUGGCCGGGCGACGGUUGUCCCGGUUUAAGCGUGUAGGCUGGUUUUCCAGGCAAAUCCGGAAAAUCAAGGCUGAGGCGUGAUGACGAGGCACUACGGUGCUGAAGCAACAAAUGCCCUGCUUCCAGGAAAAGCCUCUAAGCAUCAGGUAACAUCAAAUCGUACCCCAAACCGACACAGGUGGUCAGGUAGAGAAUACCAAGGCGCUUGAGAGAACUCGGGUGAAGGAACUAGGCAAAAUGGUGCCGUAACUUCGGGAGAAGGCACGCUGAUAUGUAGGUGAAGUCCCUCGCGGAUGGAGCUGAAAUCAGUCGAAGAUACCAGCUGGCUGCAACUGUUUAUUAAAAACACAGCACUGUGCAAACACGAAAGUGGACGUAUACGGUGUGACGCCUGCCCGGUGCCGGAAGGUUAAUUGAUGGGGUCAGCGCAAGCGAAGCUCUUGAUCGAAGCCCCGGUAAACGGCGGCCGUAACUAUAACGGUCCUAAGGUAGCGAAAUUCCUUGUCGGGUAAGUUCCGACCUGCACGAAUGGCGUAAUGAUGGCCAGGCUGUCUCCACCCGAGACUCAGUGAAAUUGAACUCGCUGUGAAGAUGCAGUGUACCCGCGGCAAGACGGAAAGACCCCGUGAACCUUUACUAUAGCUUGACACUGAACAUUGAGCCUUGAUG
This 1695-nucleotide ribosomal RNA is filed under the name Escherichia coli. RNAcentral describes it as "partial 23S ribosomal RNA". It matches the Rfam family "Bacterial large subunit ribosomal RNA", at positions 456 to 2136 of the family's 2925-position model. The record is from RNAcentral. Lineage: Bacteria; Pseudomonadati; Pseudomonadota; Gammaproteobacteria; Enterobacterales; Enterobacteriaceae.